UUCCUUUAGGAUAUAUUUAAAGGUAAAACCUGCCCUAUGUAAUUAAUAAAUGGCUGCGGUAUCUUAACUGCACUAAGGUAGCAUAAUUAAUUGUCUUUUAAAUGGUGACUUGUUUGAAUGGUUUAAUGAGAAAAAGUUUAUCUUUUAGCUAUAAUGAAAUUAUAUUUUAAGGUCAAAAUACCUAAAUGUAAAAGAAAGACGAGAAGACCCUGUUGAGUUUAACAAAGAAAUUUGUUUAAAUGGGAAAUUAGGUUCCCAUUUGGAACCUAUAAGAUCCUAAGGCUUUCAAAGUCUUCGAAAAAGGAUAAAAUUACCACAGGGAUAACAGGAUAAUACUUAUUGAGAGUCCUAAUCAAAAUAAGUGAUUAUUACCUCGAUGUUGAAUCGAAAUUACUAUUUGAUGCAGCAGUUAUUAUAGUAGGUCUGUUCGACCUUUAAAAUUUCACGUGAUUU
RNAcentral lists this ribosomal RNA (453 nucleotides) under Polycladida gen. n. sp. n. JR-2020. RNAcentral's name for it is "partial large subunit ribosomal RNA". It matches the Rfam family "Bacterial large subunit ribosomal RNA", at positions 1829 to 2606 of the family's 2925-position model. Lineage: Eukaryota; Metazoa; Platyhelminthes; Polycladida. The record is from RNAcentral.